GCGGAACAGCCUCAUUAUUUCUGAUGACUUUGCUUUUGAACCCCAUUGCCCUUUCUUGCCCCCCAACGCUCCAUAGCCCACUGACACUUAGACACGCUCCCAGGAAGGCUUCUGCAAAGAUCAGUGAGGAGCCCUUGGGCUGUUCACUUGGGGAAUGGGGAUUCCAAGGCAUGAGCAAUGGAUGGGAAUCAGGCAAGGGACCUGAGGUAGAGACAGAGGCCAGACGACAAGGGGAUUCAUCGCUCCUGGGGAUGGCUGUCUCUAGCUGCCUGCCCUUCAUGCCAUGAGGGAACUGCCAUAAUUACGUAUGAUUUGCAGAUAGAGAAACUGAAGAACAGAGGUUAAAUUACUUCCUGGAGAUUAUACAGCGAAUAAGUAGAGGAUUCCAGACUUGAAUCACCAGCCUUCUUCUCAAAGUUCCUGCUUCGGCCUAUACUGUGCAGCCUGGAAUUGUUUUGUAAAACUGUGUUCUCUCUGGCUAACAGCCAAAUCUGAAAGUGAGUGGGCUGGUCUAGAGGGUAACAAUGUACAAACCAAUUCUUUGAUGUAUGCCAAAAAAGUUUAAUGUUUUGCAAGUACACAAUAGUUGAGAACCUAUAAUUUGGAACAUCCCAUUGCUCUUAUCCAGAAGGCAAGAGGUCCGCCAGCUCCUUCCUCCUACCUAGGGAUGCAAGAAUUAGAUCCUAGAACGGGGAGUCUGAGAACAGCAGAUCUGUGAACUUGACUGAGAGCCCCCAAAGGAGUUCAAGAAGCCUUCAAGUUUGUGUGGAAAUUUGUUGCCUCUACCAGAAGACUGCAGAUACCCAGCAGUGAGGCAGGAGAGAAACUGGAGUCCGGUUACCUGAAUUCAAGACUUGCCUUUUCCACUCAUUAGUUAGAUGGCUUUGGGAAAGUUCCUUAUUAUGUAACCUCUUCAUUUCUCACUUAUAAAAUGGGAUAGUAAUGGUGCUUGCUUUUGAGAGUCCUUGCAAGUUUCUGGAUAAUGCAUUCUCAUAAUAAGCACUCAAUAGGUGGGUGCUUUUGUUUGUAAUAUACUACUAGCAGCCCAGAAAUCACUUCCUUCCCCACAAAUUUGCCUUUUUUUCUUAAUGUCCUCUUAUCAUCUAUAUAGAUUAUUAAUCUAGCAAAGACAAGAUAUUUAUUUAGCAGUAUGAGC
Molecule: long non-coding RNA, 1156 nt
Filed under: Heterocephalus glaber (naked mole-rat)
Lineage: Eukaryota; Metazoa; Chordata; Mammalia; Rodentia; Bathyergidae
Description: lncRNA (ENSHGLG00000038067.1)
Source: RNAcentral